RNAcentral lists this ribosomal RNA (460 nucleotides) under uncultured bacterium. Its description in RNAcentral is "partial 16S ribosomal RNA". It matches the Rfam family "Bacterial small subunit ribosomal RNA", at positions 338 to 795 of the family's 1533-position model. The record is from RNAcentral.
CCUACGGGGGGCAGCAGUGAGGAAUAUUGGUCAAUGGACGAGAGUCUGAACCAGCCAAGUAGCGUGAAGGAUGACUGCCCUAUGGGUUGUAAACUUCUUUUAUAUGGGAAUAAAAUGUUCCACGUGUGGGAUUUUGUAUGUACCAUAUGAAUAAGGCUCGGCUAACUCCGUUCCAGCAGCCGCGGUAAUACGGAGGAUCCGAGCGUUAUCCGGAUUUAUUGGGUUUAAAGGGAGCGUAGGUGGGUUGUUAAGUCAGUUGUGAAAGUUUGCGGCUCAACCGUAAAAUUGCAGUUGAAACUGGCAGUCUUGAGUACAGUAGAGGUGGGCGGAAUUCGUGGUGUAGCGGUGAAAUGCUUAGAUAUCACGAAGAACUCCGAUUGCGAAGGCAGUUCACUGGACUGCAACUGACACUGAGGCUCGAAAGUGUGGGUAUCAAACAGGAUUAGAUACCCGGGUAGUC